UAUUACCUGGCUCAAGAAGUUUUUCUCCAUGCAUUCCAGGAGUCUCCUGGAUUGCUUACAGCUUGCUGUGCCACUUUCCCAGUGGAUGUCAGGGUGUCACAGGUGGAGUGUGA
Sturnus vulgaris (Common starling) is the source of this 113-nucleotide non-coding RNA. The record is from RefSeq and is a predicted model, not a curated record. Lineage: Eukaryota; Metazoa; Chordata; Aves; Passeriformes; Sturnidae.